GGACGGCAGUACAUGUAAAAGAGAAGAACACGUGUCAGCAUCCAGCACUGGAUUACAAUAAUGAAGCCCACCAGGCCCACCUGUUAGCGUGCGGGAAGCAUAAUAUAAUUUUUUUUGUUUAUUCCCACUCAUGUCAUGUAAGCUAUUCACACCAUUUCACUUCAUGCCUCUCUCUCUCUGAUGAGAGUUUUUUUUUUUUCUUCUUAAUUCUGAUGCAAAAGUCACUUUUCACCUCAUGAUUCCUUAUCUGUGUCUUUCUAACCAGAAGUUUUUUUACUUGUAGGCAAAAAAAAAAAAAAAAAAGCGAGAAGAUUUUUUUUCUUUACUACCCAAAUUUCUAAUUUCUUAAAACACGCCGCG
Molecule: long non-coding RNA, 360 nt
Filed under: Capsella rubella
Lineage: Eukaryota; Viridiplantae; Streptophyta; Magnoliopsida; Brassicales; Brassicaceae
Description: long non-coding RNA (CRUB_LNC004696)
Source: RNAcentral